UUCGCCUCCCACUGCUUAAGCCAUUAAUCUUUCUAGAAUUGUUCUUUGAAACAGAUGCGACCUCACAAAAGAUGUUAAUGAUGCAGUUAACAAACUCCGUGAAGAGGUCAGAGCCAACCGCCAUCCCUGCUGCAAUGAAUCUGUAGAUGCUGGGGUAUUGCCUCUGGAUUUGCCCUUGCACAACAUGGAGGAGCUAAACAAUGCAGGGGCAGCUCUUCAAUCAGGCAAAUAAGGCAAUGGUGAGACGCUUUGCCUUGAUUGGAGGGACCACACUGGAGGUGCGAGUCCACCGCACCGCCAAAUGAGCUGGCCUCGGUACUCAACUGGGCAGGGGAAAAAACCAAGGACCUUACAGAGCAAAAAAGGGCAUUUAAAGAGACAGCGCUGUGCAGAUGCAUAUUUGAUGGCCUGAUCCAGCAGGUAGGGGCGAACUCUAUGUCUGAGUUGGUCUUUGCUUAAGCAGUCCAGAAGUGGCUCAGAUAAGCUCCAGAUCGUACGGGUGGCGCAGGACGCACAUCAUCCAUCCCCAUCCCGGAGUAAAUAAUAAAAAGUGACGUGAAACAUAGAAAUGUA
Molecule: long non-coding RNA, 573 nt
Organism: Oreochromis aureus
Lineage: Eukaryota; Metazoa; Chordata; Actinopteri; Cichliformes; Cichlidae
Exons: 3
Source: RefSeq, a predicted model, not a curated record